CGGAGCGUAGCGCAGCCUGGUAGCGCACCUGCAUGGGGUGCAGGGGGUCGGGUGUUCAAAUCACCUCGCUCCGACCA
Molecule: transfer RNA, 77 nt
Filed under: Planctomycetota bacterium
Lineage: Bacteria; Pseudomonadati; Planctomycetota
Description: Planctomycetes bacterium (bioreactor metagenome) tRNA-Pro
Rfam family: tRNA
About the family: Transfer RNA (tRNA) molecules are approximately 80 nucleotides in length. Their secondary structure includes four short double-helical elements and three loops (D, anti-codon, and T loops).
Source: RNAcentral